AGGAUAAACCGCGAUAGGUCAUCACUUCUGGAAUGGGUAAUGACUUAAGUCUAUAUGGCCCCUGGAUUGGACUGCGGCCGAUCAGGCUGUUGGUGAGGUAAUGGCCCACCAAACCUGUAACCGGUACGGGCUCUGAGAGGAGGAGCCCGGAGAUGGGCACUGAGACAAGGGCCCAGGCCCUAUGGGGCGCAGCAGGCGCGAAACCUCUGCAAUAGGCGAAAGCUUGACAGGGUUACUCUGAGUGAUUUCCGUUAAGGAGAUCUUUUGGCACCUCUAAAAAUGGUGCAGAAUAAGGGGUGGGCAAGUCUGGUGUCAGCCGCCGCGGUAAUACCAGCACCCCGAGUGGUCGGGACGUUUAUUGGGCCUAAAGCAUCCGUAGCCGGUUCUACAAGUCUUCCGUUAAAUCCACCUGCUUAACAGAUGGGCUGCGGAAGAUACUAUAGAGCUAGGAGGCGGGAGAGGCAAGCGGUACUCGAUGGGUAGGGGUAAAAUCCGUUGAUCCAUUGAAGACCACCAGUGGCGAAGGCGGCUUGCCAGAACGCGCUCGACGGUGAGGGAUGAAAGCUGGGGGAGCAAACCGGAUUAGAUACCCGGGUAGUCCCAGCUGUAAACGAUGCAGACUCGGUGAUGAGUUGGCUUAUUGCUAACUCAGUGCCGCAGGGAAGCCGUUAAGUUUGCCGCCUGGGGAGUACGGUCGCAAGACUGAAACUUAAAGGAAUUGGCGG
Molecule: ribosomal RNA, 725 nt
Filed under: uncultured archaeon
Lineage: Archaea
Description: bacterial SSU rRNA
Rfam family: Archaeal small subunit ribosomal RNA
Source: RNAcentral